RNAcentral lists this ribosomal RNA (523 nucleotides) under uncultured organism. RNAcentral's name for it is "eukaryotic LSU rRNA". The stretch from base 197 to 350 matches the Rfam family "5.8S ribosomal RNA". The record is from RNAcentral.
UUCCGUAGGUGAACCUGCGGAGGGAUCAUUACACAAAUAUGAAGGCGGGCUGGAACCUCUCGGGGUUACAGCCUUGCUGAAUUAUUCACCCUUGUCUUUUGCGUACUUCUUGUUUCCUUGGUGGGUUCGCCCACCACUAGGACAAACAUAAACCUUUUGUAAUUGCAAUCAGCGUCAGUAACAAAUUAAUAAUUACAACUUUCAACAACGGAUCUCUUGGUUCUGGCAUCGAUGAAGAACGCAGCGAAAUGCGAUAAGUAGUGUGAAUUGCAGAAUUCAGUGAAUCAUCGAAUCUUUGAACGCACAUUGCGCCCUUUGGUAUUCCAAAGGGCAUGCCUGUUCGAGCGUCAUUUGUACCCUCAAGCUUUGCUUGGUGUUGGGCGUCUUGUCUCUAGCUUUGCUGGAGACUCGCCUUAAAGUAAUUGGCAGCCGGCCUACUGGUUUCGGAGCGCAGCACAAGUCGCACUCUCUAUCAGCAAAGGUCUAGCAUCCAUUAAACCUUUUUUUUCAACUUUUGACCUCG